This is a long non-coding RNA of Micropterus dolomieu (smallmouth bass), 517 nucleotides long. RefSeq lists it as uncharacterized. The record is from RefSeq and is a predicted model, not a curated record. Lineage: Eukaryota; Metazoa; Chordata; Actinopteri; Centrarchiformes; Centrarchidae. The transcript has 3 exons.
GUUGAUCGGGAGUGUGUCGCCAUGUGUGCUGUGCUGUGCUCCACAGUGGAAAGCAGCGAGCUCCUGCUGCGGUGGCGGCUGGAUCAACUGUGAGCUGCCCGCCGGCGCUCUCCUGCUGCGUCAAGGUGCAGGUGAUAUGGUCCGGUUAGACUCUGGUGAGCCGGCGGGGCAGAUCUGGUGCAGACAGCUGCCGAUGUAGGCGAUCACCUCGUCCACUUCCUCCACUGAGCCCAGCAGGAGGCUCCAUGGACCGCGCUCGAACUCCAACACCAACUGCAGGGGGCGACAUAUGCAAAGGAACAUGAAAUGAACAACUAGGAGUGCCGUUAAGGUGAAGAAAUGCAUCCAUGCAGUCAUUAUAAUUUCGUUUCCAUUAAAUAGACUGAGCAGGCUACCUGAGUGGGCUUGUUGCUGCUGAUUCCCUGGAUAUCCAGGUAGCUGAAGGAGUUUUCAACCUGAAGCAAGCCAGACAAGACAUAUUAUGAAAUUCAACAAUAAACAUUUCAAGUUAAUCUUG